CCUACGGGAGGCAGCAGUGGGGAAUAUUGCACAAUGGGGGAAACCCUGAUGCAGCGACGCCGCGUGAGUGAAGAAGUAUCUCGGUACGUAAAGCUCUAUUAGCAGGGAAGAAAAUGACGGUACCUGACCAAGAAGCCCCGGCUAACUACGUGCCAGCAGCCGCGGUAAU
This 169-nucleotide ribosomal RNA is filed under the name uncultured bacterium. RNAcentral describes it as "partial 16S ribosomal RNA". It matches the Rfam family "Bacterial small subunit ribosomal RNA", at positions 338 to 524 of the family's 1533-position model. The record is from RNAcentral.